This is a long non-coding RNA of Lagopus leucura (white-tailed ptarmigan), 2367 nucleotides long. RefSeq lists it as uncharacterized. The record is from RefSeq and is a predicted model, not a curated record. NCBI's taxonomy places the organism in Eukaryota, Metazoa, Chordata, Aves, Galliformes, Phasianidae. The transcript is spliced from 5 exons.
CUCUUCUAAUCCAUUCUCUCUCCUGCCCUGUAGGCUCAUGCCUGGAGCUUGCUAUCACCAUGUGACUUCAAAACCCACCACAUCAAACCUCCAAGGAAAUGCUUUGACUCAAGGGUCUGUUGUGUAAGUACAGACAGAAAAAUGCAGCAUGAGCACUGGGCUACUCACAACAAAGCCACAGCAGAGAUGGGAUAGAGAGCUGUACAGUCUGCAGGCUGGGCCUGCUCUUACCAUACACUCGUCUGGGACCGUUCUGAACAGCUAUAAGAUAAAUAUUGUGUUCGGAGUCCCUCCUGUGGCACUUCUGCAUUUCAGUGCAGAUGUGGACAACCUCAGAGAUGGUAGCACUCCGGCAGGAUCCCCAUCUCUGUCCUGCCAGCCAUGAAGGAUCUCCACUACACCACAACGAGCCUGAGACCUUCAGGAUGGACAACUGACUGCUUCCAAAGAUAGAAACGAUUUGCAGCAUGCACAGUGCUGCAGGUCCCUGUAGCAGUCUCAGCUAAGCAGUGACAGAUGAUGCUAUCACACAAGUACUCCAACCACGCUGUGGUUUGGUAUUGGUGUAAGACUUCUUGAGAGGUUAGGCUUGCCCAGGAGGAAACACAGCUACAGGAGGAGAAGUAAUGCAGGGCAGUGAAGACCUGGAAAAGCAAAUAUGGCUCUUUACAAGGCACUGAAAAUCCUCUGCUGUUCAAGCCAUGGAAGAGUGGACCACUUCAGACCUGCUUCAGCCCAGAGAUGGACCACAAUUAGGACAUGCAACAGACUUGUCCUCUGUGGAGCAACUGGGAACCAACAUGAUUCUCCAACAGGUUAUGCAUACAAAAAAAACCCAUCUUAUGUGCAAUCAAAAUGAGUAGACUCUAAGGUGAGAAGCCCACAUGUUAACAAGACAGUUUUCCCCAGUUUUCACUACUCAUCAGCUUUUGCUAAACUAAGAACAAACACAGCAGUGCUGAGCAACUCCUGGCCACAAACUCAGGAAAAGUCACCAACCUCCUGGCCUUGCUGCACUUCCAUCCUUUCUCAGAUGGUGCAACAUCAAACCUUCUGCAUAGGUGCAUGCUGAAACCAUUAUAAAUGAGGGAUUUUUUUUAUGCAGGGGGUCAGAUGUGUAUGCAAUAGGAAGUCUGAGCUGCUGGGUAUUGGCACCAUUUACAUCAUCCCUUUCCAAGGCAAACGUCAGGGCCCUCACUGGGCCACAGAGCAAAGGCUGGCAGCCACUUGGGAUGCUCAGCUCUGCAUCCCUCCUGCAUGGAUCGCAGAGGUACGAGAAGAGAAGGUUGAGAUUAAAAAGGGCCAGCCAGCCAGCACUUCGUAUUCUAUGGAUUGCUGAAACAUUAAGGCUGGCUGGGAUGGCCCCAGGUAGGUGAGAGCACAGUGCUCUCCCUCCAACUCUGCUCUCCCACAGGAGCAAAUCAGCUCCUGGGGAGUCGCUUGCCUUUCAUCAGGGAAGGAGUUGGCUUGUACAUGUCCCAAGCUACUCCUGAAUGAAAUUCCAAGAAAAAGUGUUUGUUUACAGAGUGACAGAGUUACUAAACCAGCCAAUCAACCUGCCUGAAGUAUUGUGUUAGUGCAACAUACUUGUGCAAGCCAAGUAUUAAUAAGAGGGCUUACGUUUCUGUUGGAUGUGCCAUGAGUCAAGCAUCCAAUGCAGAUGGCUCCUAAACAAACUCCAUGUGCUGCAGGAAAUUCAAAGUGAUUGAUAAACCCUUUUCCCCUCAGGUGGAGACAAGACUGACAUAAUGCCUAAUAAAUCCCCCAGGAGAAGGUGGUCUGUAAUUCACCUUUGGGAGGUUUGUAUGUGCAGAUAAUGGACUGUUUGGCUCCACUGGGCUCACACCAUGCCCUGGCCAGGCCCUGCAGCAUUUUAUUGCGGCUGCCCCUCAGCACUCAGGGCCUCUGUUUCUCUGAGAGGGUGGUGCAGUCACACUCUUCUUGUGCUUGGCUGUCCAGCCAGACCAGUUUGCAAGUAGUCAAAAAUACAGGUUUUGUCUGACAGGAGAUCCUCUGUUCAGCACAAGCCAGAAGUAGCUAGCAGGGGGUUGGCCUGAAAGCUUCCUGCCCCAAAGGGAUAGUCCUCCCAGCUCAGCCAUUUGCAGCAGGGGCAGUGGGACCAAGGCAGCCACUCCACCCAGGGAAAAAGCAGUCUCUUCAGCCUCUCCUGCAAAGCAGAGCUGAUAUUCUGGCUUGUCUCAUACCUUCCUGCACUCCAGCAGCCUGUACCAUCCUCAUCCCCAUGGCUCAACUGCAUCGCACCCCACCUUAAGCAAAGGAAGCUCCAGCCACAACUUAGCUGCACAAUUGAGAGCUAGAAGUACCCUCUCUUCUUUAUCUUUCUUUCCUUUUUUUUUUUUUUUUUUU